This is a long non-coding RNA of Corythoichthys intestinalis (scribbled pipefish), 1631 nucleotides long. RefSeq lists it as uncharacterized. The transcript has 3 exons. NCBI's taxonomy places the organism in Eukaryota, Metazoa, Chordata, Actinopteri, Syngnathiformes, Syngnathidae. The record is from RefSeq and is a predicted model, not a curated record.
CUGAAAUCCAUUAGCCAUGCCUGCCACCAAAGACGUGGCUUUACAGUUAGCGAUUUAGCCGACCUACAUGGUAUGAAGUGACAGAAUAUCCACCGUUGAAUGUCAGAGCAUGGUAUAAGAGUUUCUGACCUGAAUAAUUCCACUGACAUCGCAACGUUGGAUGCUGGAUGAUUACAGAGAUCCCAGGAUCUCCUCAAAAUUCUGGGUUCAAAAUGAUGCAAGGACAAAGGUUCAAAACUUCGUGUGCAAGAGUCCAUGCGACGUCUGGAUCCACCGGGAAUUGUCCGCACACUACAACUACAAACUGUUCGGCGUAGAAGAUAUUCUGUGCCAGCCCCCAACAGUCAACCAUAAACUCAUAAAUUAAGGCUCUAUGUUAGGGAACUAGGAAGGAAGUACAAAAAUAAAUUAAGACCAUAUUUUUUUCACCCAUUUUGGAAAGGUAAACCCGUAUAUAAUCUAGAUAAUUUUAAAUUAAGUUUAAAUAUUUCAUGCUUUUAUUUUUUAUUACGCGCUAGGAAUCAAUUUUGAUUGGGAGUGCUUUCGCUGCCAGCCUCUCCCAAUCAAAAUGGAUUGGGUGUCAAGCGCUGUCAAUGGCAGCCAAUGAGUUAAAUGUUGAUGUUUAUGGCUUGCAAAAAAAAAAAAGAAACCCUAAAGUUUAAUGUCUCAAAAAAAACAAAAAAAAAUUAAACAUUUUUUGGGCCUUCCAACACAUCUUCUGUUAUUGCAGAAAUGUUAGUAUAGUUUUAGCUGACAAUUCUGGGAGAUGAUUGGAUGAAAUUUCACCCAUUGAAAUCAAAUCAUGAGGUUUGGCAUGCCCUCUUUGCUUGUUGGCUCUUUGAAAAUGGUUUAACAAGUGCAACUUCAAAAAGGAUCAUGUUAAGUGCAUGUCUCUCACACAUAACAUUAAAAAUAACCAAUAAAAGCAUGAAAUAUCCCCCAACCAAAAACUUACACUUUGUUCUGGGACUUGAGUAAAAAUGAGCUUGGAUUUUUUUUUUUUUUUGCCCAGCAGAAAAAAAUGCACGACUAAACGGGUUAAGUCUAAUGUCAAAAAUUCAGAACUUCCACUAUAAGGUUAUGUGUAAAACGACCUAAAAUAACAACUGAGUGUCACCCCUUCCAUUUUGCAGUCUUGUCCAUUGUCCUCAACCAUUUUCCCCCCUUCUUAAUAAAAUUAUAUAAACACUUUCACAGUCUAGGCACAUACAGGUUAAGCUAAUCAAUAAAUUUGCCAUAUAGGAUGUGUGCAUGUUUAGUUAUGUUUCAGGACUUGUUGGUUCACCUUUACAUUAAAUAUUUGGAGUUUUAUGUGAUGGUCCACAUGGUCAUCCCCCCCAUGUAGGUGUCAGUCCCUGAAGUGCAGCUGCAACAAGAAGAAAUUGAAGAAAUAAAGCAGAUGUCAAAAUUUUCUAAUUUAUUGAAUGUCUACAGCGAGACUAUCCAUCCUGCAUCAGAUAUUUUGACUUGUUUGAAAUGACAGCACAGCAUGUUUGUUGUGGUUGAUGUGACAGUGCACCAAUGUGCAGAAAUAAUAAAUGAUUGUUUUCUACAAAGUAACAUUUUAUUGAUGACCAGUGUAAUACAAUACAAAUAAUAAACAGGCAAUUGAUCUACAAAAAAGGACUUCC